CUACGGGGUGUGCAGUAAGGAAUAUUGCGCAAUGGAGGCAACUCUGACGCAGCCAUGCCGCGUGCAGGAAGAAGGCCUUAUGGGUCGUAAACUGCUUUUAUUUAGGAAUAAACCCCCGAACGUGUUCGGGGCUGAAGGUACUAAACGAAUAAGCACCGGCUAACUCCGUGCCAGCAGCCGCGGUAAUACGGAGGGUGCAAGCGUUAUCCGGAUUUAUUGGGUUUAAAGGGUGCGCAGGCGGGCUAUUAAGUCAGUGGUGAAAUCCCGGGGCUCAACUCCGGAACUGCCAUUGAUACUGAUAGUCUUGAGUUUGGUUGAAGUGGGCGGAAUGUAGCAUGUAGCGGUGAAAUGCAUAGAUAUGCUACAGAACACCAAUCGCGAAGGCAGCUCACUAAGCCAAAACUGACGCUCAUGCACGAAAGCGUGGGGAUCAAACAGGAUUAGAUACCCGCGUAGUC
This 458-nucleotide ribosomal RNA is filed under the name uncultured bacterium. RNAcentral describes it as "partial 16S ribosomal RNA". It matches the Rfam family "Bacterial small subunit ribosomal RNA", at positions 339 to 795 of the family's 1533-position model. The record is from RNAcentral.